GUGCUGCUUAGUGGGGAAGGCUGUUGAGUAGAGCUCUCCAUCAUUAUGCCCUAUGCUCAAGCAUCUGAAGAAAUCUUUAUGUGCUUCUGUGCCCAACAUGAGAACUUUGAUCCUCAAGUGGCCCAAUUAACUGUGCAUUGCUCCAUUGCUGCUGCUUUCAAAGAAAGGACUAUCAUAUAUUAGGAAUCAUUAUUCAAGAUCAAUUUUGAUUGUAACUUAAAAGACCACAAGGUAUGCCUAAUAGUUUCGCUACUGUAUUUUUAACAAGCAGAUCAACACUUGAAACAUGAAAGGGGUUAUUUCAGUCAAUAAAUAAGACAUGAUACCCAUUUUUCUAUAUGGGGUGGGAGUGAGGUAGGAAAUAAAAAUAAAACAAUACUUGAAAGUUGAGAUAGACAUAUAAAAACUUAUAUAUACACAUUGUUGUAGCGAAGGUUUACAAGGGAAUAGACUUAAUACAGGACACAUAAUUUAUGGGAUUAUUUUAUAAUAUUCACCCCCCAAAAAAUCAAAUGCAGAAGCAUGCAAGAGAUCUGUCAGUGGAUUAGAGACCCAAAGAAGACAGCUGAGGGCCUGGAUCCCAAGGCAAUGUCUCAUGCAAGUUUGUAUCAAAGAUCUACACUGGGAAGGACAAAAGCCCAGUGGAGAAGGCUAGAAAGUCUGUUCCAAUGGGGUGAGGGAUCUGUGCUAACAGGCUGGGGGAUCUGCACUGGAUCCAGGAAAUGAUGCUCAAGGCAAAGACCAGAGCUCUCCCAGAAAAGAACAGCAACCAUCCCAGCAAGGAGUGGAGCUCCUCUGAUGAUGAGAACCGCCAAGUUCCUAUCUGGAAAACCAGCCACAACAAACCUUCUCCUGAGAAAUUAGCAGCAAGAAAUCUUCCCCUCCUGUUCUCCUUUUAUGCUGUUGACAACAAUCCUCAGGUGGGUCUUCCAUGGCCAGAACUAC
Long non-coding RNA from Heterocephalus glaber (naked mole-rat), 945 nucleotides. The record is from Ensembl. NCBI's taxonomy places the organism in Eukaryota, Metazoa, Chordata, Mammalia, Rodentia, Bathyergidae.